GAUGAACGCUGGCGGCGUGCCUAAUACAUGCAAGUAGAGCGCUGAAGCUUGGUGCUUGCACCGAGCGGAUGAGUUGCGAACGGGUGAGUAACGCGUAGGUAACCUGCCUCUUAGCGGGGGAUAACUAUUGGAAACGAUAGCUAAUACCGCAUAAAAGUCGAUAUCGCAUGAUAUUGAUUUGAAAGGUGCAAUUGCAUCACUAAGAGAUGGACCUGCGUUGUAUUAGCUAGUUGGUGAGGUAACGGCUCACCAAGGCGACGAUACAUAGCCGACCUGAGAGGGUGAUCGGCCACACUGGGACUGAGACACGGCCCAGACUCCUACGGGAGGCAGCAGUAGGGAAUCUUCGGCAAUGGGGGCAACCCUGACCGAGCAACGCCGCGUGAGUGAAGAAGGUUUUCGGAUCGUAAAGCUCUGUUGUAAGAGAAGAACGAGUGUGAGAGUGGAAAGUUCACACUGUGACG
This 464-nucleotide ribosomal RNA is filed under the name Streptococcus parasanguinis. RNAcentral's name for it is "bacterial SSU rRNA". It matches the Rfam family "Bacterial small subunit ribosomal RNA", at positions 28 to 474 of the family's 1533-position model. The record is from RNAcentral. Lineage: Bacteria; Bacillati; Bacillota; Bacilli; Lactobacillales; Streptococcaceae.